This 400-nucleotide ribosomal RNA is filed under the name uncultured bacterium. Its description in RNAcentral is "bacterial SSU rRNA". It matches the Rfam family "Bacterial small subunit ribosomal RNA", at positions 355 to 774 of the family's 1533-position model. The record is from RNAcentral.
UUAGGAAUCUUCCACAAUGGGCGAAAGCCGGAUGGAGCGACGCCGCGUGAGGGAUGAAGGCCUUAGGGUUGUAAACCUCUAAAAGAGGGACGAUAAUGACGGUACCUCUUGAAUAGCACCGGCUAACUCCGUGCCAGCAGCCGCGGUAAUACGGAGGGUGCAAGCGUUAUCCGGAAUCACUGGGCGUAAAGGGCGCGUAGGCGGUCUGUUAAGUCCGAUGUUAAAUCCCGGGGCUCAACCCCGGAUAAGCGUUGGAUACUGGCAGGCUAGACGGUUGGAGAGNCGAGUGGAAUUACCAGUGUAGCGGUGGAAUGCGUAGAUACUGGUAGGAACACCCAUUGCGAAGGCAGCUCGCUGGACAACACGUGACGCUGAGGCGCGAAAGUGUGGGGAGCAAACC